UUGCCCAUGGACGAGAGGACCAGGAAGGACGGUCCUCUAGUGUACCGAUUGUUUCGCCAGAAGCACCGCCGGGUAGCUAUGUCCGGAUGUGAUAAGCGCUGAAAGCAUCUAAGCACGAAGCCAACUCCAAGAUAAGAUCUCCCAAAAUGACUUCGGUCAGGAGUAAGGGCCCAGGUAGACUACCUGGUGGAUAGGCCGCAAGUGGAAGUCCGGUAACGGAUGUAGCUGAGCGGUACUAAUAGCCCGAGGACUUGACCCA
This 259-nucleotide ribosomal RNA is filed under the name Chloroflexota bacterium. RNAcentral's name for it is "partial 23S ribosomal RNA". It matches the Rfam family "Bacterial large subunit ribosomal RNA", at positions 2673 to 2925 of the family's 2925-position model. Lineage: Bacteria; Bacillati; Chloroflexota. The record is from RNAcentral.